UACAGCCACAUCACAUUGAAGCACUGGUUCCUGUAUGAUCACUGAAGUUAUGUAACUUUGAGCCUGGGCAGUAAUAAGAUGGAUGACUACUUGGGAAUACCAGGUGCUGUAAG
Molecule: non-coding RNA, 113 nt
Organism: Acanthosepion pharaonis
Lineage: Eukaryota; Metazoa; Mollusca; Cephalopoda; Sepiida; Sepiidae
Source: the annotation of a GenBank genome assembly